AGUGAACGCUGGCGGUAGGCCUAACACAUGCAAGUCGAACGGCAGCACAGUAAGAGCUUGCUCUUACGGGUGGCGAGUGGCGGACGGGUGAGGAAUACAUCGGAAUCUACUCUUUCGUGGGGGAUAACGUAGGGAAACUUACGCUAAUACCGCAUACGACCUACGGGUGAAAGCAGGGGAUCUUCGGACCUUGCGCGAUUGAAUGAGCCGAUGUCGGAUUAGCUAGUUGGCGGGGUAAAGGCCCACCAAGGCGACGAUCCGUAGCUGGUCUGAGAGGAUGAUCAGCCACACUGGAACUGAGACACGGUCCAGACUCCUACGGGAGGCAGCAGUGGGGAAUAUUGGACAAUGGGCGCAAGCCUGAUCCAGCCAUACCGCGUGGGUGAAGAAGGCCUUCGGGUUGUAAAGCCCUUUUGUUGGGAAAGAAGAGCAGCAGGUUAAUACCCCGCUGUUCUGACGGUACCCAAAGAAUAAGCACCGGCUAACUUCGUG
RNAcentral lists this ribosomal RNA (492 nucleotides) under uncultured bacterium. Its description in RNAcentral is "partial 16S ribosomal RNA". It matches the Rfam family "Bacterial small subunit ribosomal RNA", at positions 29 to 507 of the family's 1533-position model. The record is from RNAcentral.